ACGAAUAUGUUCGCCACCACAGAAACAUAAAUAAAUAUAUUGUAUUUAUUGUAUUUUUAUGAUUUAUGAUAAAACUACGCAAAUAUUCACUGUUUUUAUUAUAAAUCAUAAAAAUACAAUAAAUACAAUAUAUUUAGUUAUGUUUCUGUGGUGGCGAACAUAUUCGU
This 167-nucleotide microRNA precursor is filed under the name Paramuricea clavata. Lineage: Eukaryota; Metazoa; Cnidaria; Anthozoa; Malacalcyonacea; Plexauridae. The record is from RNAcentral.